This 2900-nucleotide ribosomal RNA is filed under the name Klebsiella pneumoniae BIDMC 31. RNAcentral describes it as "bacterial LSU rRNA". It matches the Rfam family "Bacterial large subunit ribosomal RNA". The record is from RNAcentral. Lineage: Bacteria; Pseudomonadati; Pseudomonadota; Gammaproteobacteria; Enterobacterales; Enterobacteriaceae.
UUAAGCGACUAAGCGUACACGGUGGAUGCCCUGGCAGUCAGAGGCGAUGAAGGACGUGCUAAUCUGCGAAAAGCGUCGGUAAGGUGAUAUGAACCGUUAUAACCGGCGAUGUCCGAAUGGGGAAACCCAGUGCAAUUCGUUGCACUAUCGUUAACUGAAUACAUAGGUUAACGAGGCGAACCGGGGGAACUGAAACAUCUAAGUACCCCGAGGAAAAGAAAUCAACCGAGAUUCCCCCAGUAGCGGCGAGCGAACGGGGAGCAGCCCAGAGUCUGAAUCAGCUUGUGUGUUAGUGGAACGGUCUGGAAAGUCCGACGGUACAGGGUGAUAGUCCCGUACACCAAAAUGCACAGGCUGUGAACUCGAAGAGUAGGGCGGGACACGUGGUAUCCUGUCUGAAUAUGGGGGGACCAUCCUCCAAGGCUAAAUACUCCUGACUGACCGAUAGUGAACCAGUACCGUGAGGGAAAGGCGAAAAGAACCCCGGCGAGGGGAGUGAAAAAGAACCUGAAACCGUGUACGUACAAGCAGUGGGAGCACCUUCGGGUGUGACUGCGUACCUUUUGUAUAAUGGGUCAGCGACUUAUAUUCUGUAGCAAGGUUAACCGUAUAGGGGAGCCGCAGGGAAACCGAGUCUUAACUGGGCGUUAAGUUGCAGGGUAUAGACCCGAAACCCGGUGAUCUAGCCAUGGGCAGGUUGAAGGUUGGGUAACACUAACUGGAGGACCGAACCGACUAAUGUUGAAAAAUUAGCGGAUGACUUGUGGCUGGGGGUGAAAGGCCAAUCAAACCGGGAGAUAGCUGGUUCUCCCCGAAAGCUAUUUAGGUAGCGCCUCGUGAACUCAUCUUCGGGGGUAGAGCACUGUUUCGGCUAGGGGGUCAUCCCGACUUACCAACCCGAUGCAAACUACGAAUACCGAAGAAUGUUAUCACGGGAGACACACGGCGGGUGCUAACGUCCGUCGUGAAGAGGGAAACAACCCAGACCGCCAGCUAAGGUCCCAAAGUCAUGGUUAAGUGGGAAACGAUGUGGGAAGGCACAGACAGCCAGGAUGUUGGCUUAGAAGCAGCCAUCAUUUAAAGAAAGCGUAAUAGCUCACUGGUCGAGUCGGCCUGCGCGGAAGAUGUAACGGGGCUAAACCAUGCACCGAAGCUGCGGCAGCGACACUAUGUGUUGUUGGGUAGGGGAGCGUUCUGUAAGCCUGCGAAGGUGUGCUGUGAGGCAUGCUGGAGGUAUCAGAAGUGCGAAUGCUGACAUAAGUAACGAUAAAGCGGGUGAAAAGCCCGCUCGCCGGAAGACCAAGGGUUCCUGUCCAACGUUAAUCGGGGCAGGGUGAGUCGACCCCUAAGGCGAGGCCGAAAGGCGUAGUCGAUGGGAAACAGGUUAAUAUUCCUGUACUUGGUGUUACUGCGAAGGGGGGACGGAGAAGGCUAUGUUAGCCGGGCGACGGUUGUCCCGGUUUAAGCAUGUAGGCUGGUUGUCCAGGCAAAUCCGGAUAAUCAAGGCUGAGGUGUGAUGACGAGGCACUACGGUGCUGAAGUAACAAAUGCCCUGCUUCCAGGAAAAGCCUCUAAGCAUCAGGUAACAUCAAAUCGUACCCCAAACCGACACAGGUGGUCAGGUAGAGAAUACCAAGGCGCUUGAGAGAACUCGGGUGAAGGAACUAGGCAAAAUGGUGCCGUAACUUCGGGAGAAGGCACGCUGGUGUGUAGGUGAAGUCCCUGCGGAUGGAGCUGAGACCAGUCGAAGAUACCAGCUGGCUGCAACUGUUUAUUAAAAACACAGCACUGUGCAAACACGAAAGUGGACGUAUACGGUGUGACGCCUGCCCGGUGCCGGAAGGUUAAUUGAUGGGGUUAUCCGUAAGGAGAAGCUCUUGAUCGAAGCCCCGGUAAACGGCGGCCGUAACUAUAACGGUCCUAAGGUAGCGAAAUUCCUUGUCGGGUAAGUUCCGACCUGCACGAAUGGCGUAAUGAUGGCCAGGCUGUCUCCACCCGAGACUCAGUGAAAUUGAACUCGCUGUGAAGAUGCAGUGUACCCGCGGCAAGACGGAAAGACCCCGUGAACCUUUACUAUAGCUUGACACUGAACAUUGAGCCUUGAUGUGUAGGAUAGGUGGGAGGUUUUGAAGCGUGGACGCCAGUCUGCGUGGAGCCAACCUUGAAAUACCACCCUUUAAUGUUUGAUGUUCUAACGUUGGCCCCUGACCGGGGUUGCGGACAGUGUCUGGUGGGUAGUUUGACUGGGGCGGUCUCCUCCCAAAGCGUAACGGAGGAGCACGAAGGUUAGCUAAUCCUGGUCGGACAUCAGGAGGUUAGUGCAAUGGCAUAAGCUAGCUUGACUGCGAGCGUGACGGCGCGAGCAGGUGCGAAAGCAGGUCAUAGUGAUCCGGUGGUUCUGAAUGGAAGGGCCAUCGCUCAACGGAUAAAAGGUACUCCGGGGAUAACAGGCUGAUACCGCCCAAGAGUUCAUAUCGACGGCGGUGUUUGGCACCUCGAUGUCGGCUCAUCACAUCCUGGGGCUGAAGUAGGUCCCAAGGGUAUGGCUGUUCGCCAUUUAAAGUGGUACGCGAGCUGGGUUUAGAACGUCGUGAGACAGUUCGGUCCCUAUCUGCCGUGGGCGCUGGAGAAUUGAGGGGGGCUGCUCCUAGUACGAGAGGACCGGAGUGGACGCAUCACUGGUGUUCGGGUUGUCAUGCCAAUGGCACUGCCCGGUAGCUAAAUGCGGAAGAGAUAAGUGCUGAAAGCAUCUAAGCACGAAACUUGCCCCGAGAUGAGUUCUCCCUGAGACUUUAAGUCUCCUGAAGGAACGUUGAAGACGACGACGUUGAUAGGCCGGGUGUGUAAGCGCAGCGAUGCGUUGAGCUAACCGGUACUAAUGAACCGUGAGGCUUAACCUU